This 354-nucleotide unclassified non-coding RNA is filed under the name Hevea brasiliensis (rubber tree). The record is from RNAcentral. Lineage: Eukaryota; Viridiplantae; Streptophyta; Magnoliopsida; Malpighiales; Euphorbiaceae.
AGUUGUUUUUAGGGGCAAGGGAGACGAAUGCUGAUUGGAAGGUCAGAUGCAGCUUUUUAUUUAAUUUUUAUUUUUAUUUUGUCCAUUGCUGUGCCUGGUUUUGACAGAAUUUGCUGAGGCGCAUGGAAGAAAACAAAAUAAGAAAUGUGUAGGUAUUUAUUCAAGGAAAGCGAAAGAAAGAAGGCGAAAGAAAGAACUUAGGUUUUUAACUGGUCUGAAUUGUAAUGUCUUUGGUUUUUGUAUAGCCUUUUUUUUUUUUUUUUUUUUUUUUGGCGUGGAUGAUUAUAUUCUUCUUAUGGUGGCAUUGCAUGGAUGACAAUCUCAGCAUAAGAAGAAUAUAAUCAUCCACGCCAA